RNAcentral lists this ribosomal RNA (265 nucleotides) under uncultured bacterium. RNAcentral describes it as "partial 16S ribosomal RNA". It matches the Rfam family "Bacterial small subunit ribosomal RNA", at positions 57 to 305 of the family's 1533-position model. The record is from RNAcentral.
GCAAGUCGAGCGAGAAGUCUAUGAAAGAUCCUUCGGGUGAUUGAUUAGAUGGAAAGCGGCGGACGGGUGAGUAACGCGUGAGUAACCUACCCUAUACACAAGGAUAGCCAUUGUAAACGAUGAUUAAAACUUGAUAAGACUACAGAACCGCAUGGUUCAGUGGUAAAAACUCCGGUGGUAUAGGAUGGACUCGCGUCUGAUCAGCUAGUUGGUAAGGUAAAGGCUUACCAAGACUACGAUGAGUAGCCGACCUGAGAGGGUGAUC